This 253-nucleotide ribosomal RNA is filed under the name uncultured bacterium. RNAcentral describes it as "partial 16S ribosomal RNA". It matches the Rfam family "Bacterial small subunit ribosomal RNA", at positions 524 to 776 of the family's 1533-position model. The record is from RNAcentral.
UACGUAGGGGGCAAGCGUUGUCCGGAUUUAUUGGGCGGAAAGAGCGUGUAGGCGGCCUGACAGGUCUGCUGUGAAAACUCGAGGCUCAACCUCGAGAUGUCGGCGGAAACCGUCUGGCUAGAGUCCGGAAGAGGAGAGUGGAAUUCCUGGUGUAGCGGUGAAAUGCGCAGAUAUCAGGAAGAACACCGGUGGCGAAGGCGGUUCUCUGGGCCUGACCUGACGCUGAGGAGCGAAAGCGUGGGGAGCGAACAGG